CCAGGAAUGAGCAAUUUACGUGCAUUCAGUUUUUGUGGAGGUGACCAUUUUCCUUUGAAAACGGCCCAGUCUAUUUAUUUUAGCACUUGGUUUGGGGACGGGUAUUAAAUUCCGUUGCUGGCAUCGCGCCAAGACAGUAGGCCAGCAGAGGCCGCUGGGCUGAAGCCUGCAGGGGUGCCUCCUCUGCCGGAUCUGGCCAAGCCUCCUGCCAGUCGAGGCCCUUUACCUUCCAGUCACACCAAGAACUAAAACAGGAUCAGCCAAAGCUUUUGAAGAAACCCAAACUGGACAGACAGUUACUGAAUUUUUGUAAUGUCCGAGGCUUCCAGGAGGAGUGACACAUAUCUCUGCUGGAUGAGCUCACAGUUCCAAUGAGAAGAUACAAGCUGAAAGAUUGCAGCAGAACUGGGAAGUGAAAGCACGGAGAGGCUGUGGGACAUGGAGGAGGGGCGGUAAGAUUGAGAAAGAGGUAACAGUUGGGGUGACUUUGGACCUGAGACCUGGGCAGGCAUAAGAAGUCUCACUCUCUAUUCCAUUCUUGGCAGGGGAUGUUUCUUUGUACCAGGUAGCUUUGCGCUUGUUUUGUUCCAUAAAAGUAAAUCUCUGUUCACUAAGGAAUUAUGGUAGUGAAUGGUGACUCUCCGGAAUUAUAGGGCUAAUUCCAAAAUAAUCUUAGUUUUAUUCCCCCACAUUGUAAUAUUAACACUUGGGAAUUUUGUUUAUCGCGAUGUUUAAUAAUUUGGCCAGCAGAGGGCACUGCAUACUGACAGUCUCUCCACACCAGUCGCUCAAAUCCUCAAGAGUUCCCGAAGUGUUAGGCUUAACUCAGGGGUGUUUGCAAGUGCUUUGCUCUUCUGUUUCAGACAUAAACAUAUGUCAGAAAUUAAAAGAGGGUUGUGAAGCAGGAAAUUAGAUUAACAGUAGCAUAUAAUUUCCCUCUAUUUGUUAAUAAAGAGAAAAAAUAUUGGUAUGUACACCCAUGUCUACAGGGUUUUAAAUGUAGCUGUAUUAAUUAAUGUAUUAAUAAUAUGAUAACACUACUUCUUGCAUAAAUCAACAUAACUUCUAAAUUCUCUUUGAAAAUAUUUUUGGUUUUAUAUUGUGGUUUAAUUCUCAAUCAUAAACUAAAAAGUAAAAAAACCUGAUGCCUAAUGUUAUACUUUCUUUCAAACCUUAAGAUAGAUAUUAUUGUUUGAAUAGUAUCAAAAUAUUGUGGUUCUGCAC
RNAcentral lists this long non-coding RNA (1224 nucleotides) under Homo sapiens (human). RNAcentral describes it as "HSALNT0252744". The record is from RNAcentral. Lineage: Eukaryota; Metazoa; Chordata; Mammalia; Primates; Hominidae.